GUAGGUGAACCUGCGGAAGGAUCAUUAACACGUAUCCAAACGUUAAAACAACCCUGUGAAUAUUGAAUCUCAGUUCCCCCAGGGCAGAAAAAUGGGCUUCCUCUAGUAAAUCAUUGUCUUAACAAGGUUUUGAGUUAGAGGAUGGCGCACGAGUAGCACCUGUAUUGGGUCGAGCGUUUCCAAGAUCCACCCCUGGUGCCCCCAAGCAACCAUCAAUCUGAAAGUGUUUGGUGAAUUGUGCAAGGGCAGC
This 250-nucleotide unclassified non-coding RNA is filed under the name plant metagenome. RNAcentral's name for it is "partial contains small subunit ribosomal RNA, internal transcribed spacer 1, and 5.8S ribosomal RNA". The record is from RNAcentral.